Dreissena polymorpha is the source of this 3998-nucleotide long non-coding RNA. RefSeq lists it as uncharacterized. The record is from RefSeq and is a predicted model, not a curated record. The transcript is spliced from 3 exons. Lineage: Eukaryota; Metazoa; Mollusca; Bivalvia; Myida; Dreissenidae.
UUAAUUUGAAAUAAAAUAAUACUUUCGGUGAACGAUACGAUUAUUUUAUUCACGAAAGGUUAUAGAGAUAAAAAAAAUCAAUAAUUUAUCGACAUUAACCAAAAUCCUCCAUACUUUAAAGGAAACAACUAUUUUGAAAAAUUCCCAUUCAUCUUUAAAAUAAACUUAAUUCACAAUAUUUUCAUAUAUUGUAACGAUAGUACUAAUACUAUUGAGAGGACACCAGUUUUCUAAAUAGUUACUGACACCUGAACUAAUAAACACCAAAGGAUAAGACUGCUAAUUAAAAUACAAUACCGGUAUGGUUCUUGAGCGGUAAAGGGGAUCUUUCACCUUGUCCCUUAUGUAACUUAAUGCUCUGGAAAUGUGUUCCCAGCCAGCACACCACUAUCGGAUAGAUAUCGGUAGCAAAACGGUAUAUCGGCAAAUCGGCAAGAUGUCUAUCCGAUGUUAAUCCGUUUCGCCGCCCGAUAUAUGUAACUACCAAAAAAGUCAUUUAACAUGCAACGUGUUUAAUGAAAUAUUACAAAAUACAUAUAUUCGUAACAUAAAACAUAAAUAUGGUCAAUAAUUAAUAUACAACUUGUGCUUGUUUUUGCCGAUAGCGAGCCGACAACGGCCCGUUGUGGUUGUAAAUGUUUUCGUUCAAAAACGAUAAUUUCGUUCGGUUAAAGAAAUUUUCUGGCGGUCAAGUUAAAUGAGGCGUUCGAACACAAACAUUGCGUCUUGCGUUUUGUUUCGGAGAUCUUCAUUAAAGUUCAAAUUCACCACUAUUGUUUACAAGACCCAGCCCUCAACAGCCAACCCACAUUUCUAGUGCCAUGGGGAAUCGGCAAGGUUGUCUUCUGACAGACCACACGAUAGUUCCAGAAGCCCUCAAGCAAGUCUUUCUGAACACAAACAGUUACAUGGAGUUUUUCAUAAAAGCAUUGCUUCGAAUGCCAGUGGCUGCCAUGAGGGAGGGUGCACCAAGCCUUUGACGAUGACAUCAGCCAUGGCCAAAGAACAUUAUGAUGAUUAGUUAACUUUCUAUAUAACUGUUAAUUGUGUUAAUAGUUACAACUUAUAAGGUUUACAAUUUUAAUCUUACCUUAUACACUUUAAAUUAUGACUUUUAUUGUGUCAUCCUCAAAAUAAGACCGCCUUUGAUUCAUUAUAUAUAUAUUCUUAAAUAUUAAGGCGUUAAGUUAAUAUAAUAACAUGAAUAUAAUUUAAAAUAGUUAAUUAUUAAGAACAACGUUUGCCGUUAUCGAGACUCGAACCAUUGUAUGUCAUUAUAUUGAUUAAACAGUUAUUGCUGUUACCACUCGGCAAUCCGGACUGCUAUACAAAGUCUGCUUUUGAUACUUUAUUUAUAUAAGUGAUGUACGUGUACUGUUGUUACACAAUUUAAAGGAAUUAGCAGAAACUAGCUACUCUACAAAUUUUAACGGAAUAAACAGAAACAAGCAAUUCCAACAUAUUCAAUCGUUUCGAGUGUGUAACACUAGUUUCAAGUGUGUAACACUUUAUAAUUUUAUCAAUUUCAAAUGAUCACUAUUCAUAAACUAAACUUGAUUUCCAUCAUCAGUCUACGCCAUACAGUGUCAUUUUGACAAUCUGUGAACAAUGCCCUUCUAGGCUUUCCUUUCUAUAGCCAAAUUUGCAUCAAUAUAUAUUAUACAAUCUAGUAACUUGUAACUUUUGCUAUUUUAUGAUAAAUGGGUUUUAAUGAAGAAAAUGAUGCAGCCAAAUAUAAAAUUCUUAAACAAAAUGUUUCAACUUGCAGUCGUUGGCUAAAUUUGGUGAAUGGCAGAGUUAGCCCUGCCCUUUUUUGCUGUAUAUUGUUCCAAAUAGGUAGUUGAGAUUAGAUUGUGGGUGAAAAGUGCAUUUUUAUACUAAUUAUGUACAUUUUCUUAAAAUUGAUUGUCCUUAAUUCCUGUUUCAUGCAAGCUGUGUGUUAUACUUAGUUACAUACAGUCGCCUUUUUAUACAUUUUAUACAUCAGUACGUUUAAUAGGUUACUUUUAAACUGCUAAAAAUUAAUAUUUUUAAUAUAUCAGCAGGAUUGUUUUAUUCCUUUUUGUAUUUAAUCCUGUUGUUGCCUAAAGAAGGCACAUUGUGUCAAUAUAUUGCUGUUUUUCAAUUUCAACCAUACCUGAAUAUUUGUCAUGUAAAAAGGUUUCGAUUAAGUUUAUCAAAAGUAUGCAUUUUAUCAUAUAGAUUAAAUAUUGAGACAGGUAGAUGGCUAGACCUGUGUCUAUUCCAUUAGAUCAAAGAAAGUGUAUUUAUUUGUUGUAAACUCGAAAAUGAGUUUAAUUUUAUUCUUGAAUGUAAAUUACCGGUAUAUAUGGAACUGAGAUCAAAAUGAUUUUUUUUAAAUAUAUUCAAUUGUAUUACAGACAAAGACCAAAUAUGUACACAUUUGUCGAGCUAUUUACAUCAAUUAAUGGGCUAUAAAAGUCUCUAUAACACUCAAAAUCAACGAAAAUUUCAUAAAGUAUUUUUUCAAAUAAAGUUAACACCUAAACAAUCAGUGUUUCAUAUUGGUAUAGCCACAAUUUCAACGCAAGAUGUGGUAUGAUUACAUAGAUUUUUUUAGAUACAAAAUGCUCAUUUUUAUUUAUUUGUGACCAAAUUUAUUCUAUUUGAAUUUCCUGCCAAUAUAUCUAUUCAUACAACACACAAGCACCAUGUUAGUGUUCAUGUGUUGUAUGACUAGAUAUCAUUGCGGGAAAUUAAAAUGGAAAAACAACGAGCAUUGUGUAUCUACAAACAUCUAUUUGACUUGACCACAUCUGGCGUUGAAAUUUCGGCAAUUGCCAUUAAGGAACACCAAUUUUUAAUUGGUUAAGUUUAUUUUAAGAAAUAUUGUACGAAAUUAUCGUUGAUUUUAAGUAGUAAUGUUACUUUAAUAAAACAAAUUUGGCCGUUAUAUUUAUCACUCUUCAGGUUCAAUCACAUUAUUCCUUUGUACCAUCAACUUAAUGUAUUCUGAUGUGUUUUGUAUCGCAUAUAUCUUCUUGUUACUGUAAUUGUAUUUGUUAUGUACAGCAUACAUAAUGUUGUUACUUACACAUUAUAAAGUGGGACACAAUGUGGACUUUAUGGAUUGUUUGCUAUUUUAAAACUGUAAAAACAUACUUGCUGUCAAUUAUACUUAAACACCUGUAUCAAGAAGGAUGUAAUAUAAUCUAUGUUCUAAUCUUAUCUUCUGAAUUGCAGUGUAGUAAGCCUCAAGACUGUUUAUUGUUUCGUUAAGGAUUGACAGUCUAAACGUGGCGUUAAUAGACUACAUUUAAAUAGUUGCGAUUAUUUUAUUUAUUGGAUAGUAUCAUAUAUUUUUUUUGCUUUACCACUGUCGAUUGUAUAGAAUAGGUAGUCUAAAAAAGGCGUUAACAUCAGUUUAUAAACAUGUAAUUGCUAUAAAGUAUAAUAUGAUACAUGUUCUGUAUAUUGUUUUACCCCUUAAGUAUUAUGGUACAGUAUAAGAAACAUUUCUUCAUCUAUGUUUUUCUAUUAAGACUCUUUGAAAUAACAGAUAAUUUAAGAAAACUAUUUAUCUGUGAUUGCAUUGAAAUGUAUGUUAAAUAUGAAAUACAAUUGAUAUCCUACACUGUCAUUAAAAUUAUCAAUAAUUGUAGUACUCCACUUUCAAUUGUUUGUCCAUAGUACAUUCUGAAGAUAAUUUAGAUUUUUAUAUGGUUAAGAUUUUAGUUGCCAUAUUUAAAUUGUAAACGCAGAUGUAUGAUAUAUGUGUGUUCAUAUGUUUUCUAUUUGUAAACACUGAUGUAAAACUUUGUCCACUUGGGUUGUUGGCCUUCUUGGUAGAAUUUGUAAUAAACCAUAAAUCUUAUAUGGUGAAGAAAAACUUCAUUGUAAUAAAAAUAAUCAUGUAAGUGAAUAAAUAAAAUAGUUGUUUUAAUGUUAUUAUGACAUAAUGCCUUUUCGAAGUAAAUGUUUAUAAGAUAAAUCAGUGUUGUUUGUUAUAUACAUGGAAUGGAGGAUGUUACAUAAAA